Molecule: long non-coding RNA, 1329 nt
Filed under: Brassica rapa (field mustard)
Lineage: Eukaryota; Viridiplantae; Streptophyta; Magnoliopsida; Brassicales; Brassicaceae
Description: long non-coding RNA (BRAP_LNC007669)
Source: RNAcentral
CUAAGUUCUACUAGUUAUAUUGCGAAAUACCGACUUAUACUGAAUCCAGAUCUGAAGAUAAAAUGAAUAAAAACAUGAGAAUGAGAACAAUAAGAACCAUAAAUUAUUAAAAACUCAUAUCUAUAUAGAACAUGAAAAAUCUUAAUCAUAAAAAAUCCUGAAUCUUCUUUUACAAUCCUAAAUAAAAAACUCAGAACAAUAAAAACUUAUAUCAGAGGAACAGAUCUGAAGUAUGGAAAGAAGGAGAUCUGAAGUGUGGGAAGAAGGAGAUCUGAAGUUCAUACGUUGAGCCUUGUCGUUUUGAACGGAUCUAGAAGAAGAAAAAUCGUCAUUGAUUUUGUCUCUAUCAACUCCAACUAUUUUUUUUAUCAUCUACCGCAUAUCUCUUUCACUGUUUACAGAGAAAACAGAAGAAAAUCGCAGAGAAGAUAGAAGAUAACAGAAAGAGUAGCCGAGAAGAUAAGAGAAAAAUGAACUGUUGACGCAAAGAAGAAAGAAAGAAAAGGAAAAAAAAAUAAGAAAAAAAAAACAGAAUCAAUUGAUAUUUAAAUAUUAGGGUUAAGGGUACUACAGUAAUUAGUUUAAUAUUCGCAUUAAAAAUAAUUCAGAAAGAAAUUGAUUUUAGAUGAAGUCUUGUAGAGACUGUUGUUUCACAUUUGGGGGUAUGAGAAGAGAUGAUUCAAGACACACUCUCUCUGUCUAUUGCUAAAUAAGCGAGUUUUCUUAUCUCGAGCACUAUCAUGCUACAUAUUACACAAUGCCAUAAUAAGUUUGUUAUUUUCAAUUUUCCCUAACAAAAUUAACACUAAUCACUGGGCACAAAUGCUUGUUCGACUUAUAUCUCUUAUAUGUUAUUUACUUGUCUCGACUUUUCAAAUACUCAUUUUUUUUAAGUCCAAUAUCAAAUCCUUGAGUUUUGCUACUUGCAAAUACAAUACAAGUAACAACAGUAAAGAAAAAGUUAGUGAUUCAACUUUUUAAAUUAGAACAAAACUUAAGUUCAUCCUCUAAAGUGAAUGGUUAAAUUCAAUUCACAUUUCAUAGUCAACUAAAAUGUCAUGUAGAAUUAGUUUUAAAAGUAAUAAAAUUAAAAAAUAAAUGGCUGAAAAAAACCAACACGAACGUCUGCAAAAUCUGAAACUCUAAAAAUCUAAAAUCUAAACCCUAAACCUAAAACAUAAACUUUAAACCCCAAAUCCUAAACCCUAAAAUCUAAAUUCUAAAUUCUAAAUCCAAAAUCCUAAACCCAAAACACUAAAACAUAAACCCUAAAUCUUAAACUUUAACUCUAAAUCCUAACUCUUACAACAAGAACACCACUCAAAUUUU